Molecule: long non-coding RNA, 25010 nt
Filed under: Lynx pardinus (Iberian lynx)
Lineage: Eukaryota; Metazoa; Chordata; Mammalia; Carnivora; Felidae
Source: RNAcentral
UGGCGACUGUCAAAAGGAAAUAGGAUCAUGGCAGCAGAUGAUGACAAUGGUGAUGGAACAAGUUUAUUUGAUGUCUUUUCUGGUAAGACCUGUCUUUCUGAACUGUCUUUCUAAGUGUAUUUAAUUGCAAAAUCAUUUAUUCUCAUUGAAAACACUAUCAACUCUUUCUUCCCACACAUAAAUGAAUUAACGUAGUAAGGUGCCUGGCAAAUAGGAAAUGUUUAGUAAAUGUGAGCUUUCUUAUUAUUACAGGGCUUUUAAGCCUCUCAAAUAUAAUGAAAUUAACAACUUUGUCAAUAUGAGUGGUAAUGAUAUUUAUUUUUCUAUCCAAAGAAAUAUAAAAUAGGUAUUUGUUACUCUUGAGUAAGUUGAAUACAUUAUGGUCCUUUACUCCCAAAUACUUAAGUGUGUAUUUCAUAAGAAAAACUUGGGUUUUUUAAUAUAAGAACAGCACAGGGGCGCCUGGGUGGCGCAGUCGGUUAAGCGUCCGACUUCAGCCAGGUCACGAUCUCGCGGUCCGUGAGUUCGAGCCCCGCGUCAGGCUCUGGGCUGAUGGCUCGGAGCCUGGAGCCUGUUUCCGAUGCUGUGUCUCCCUCUAUCUCUGCCCCUCCCCCGUUCAUGCUCUGUCUCUCUCUGUCCCAAAAAUAAAUAAACGUUGAAAAAAAAAAAAAUAAGAACAGCACAAUUAUCAAAAUUUCAGUAAAUUUAACAUUGAUAUAAUACUUUUAUUUAAUCUGCUAUUUUUGUUCCUGUUUUACCAGGUAACCCCAACAUUUUCUUUAUUAUUAUGAUUGGAUUUUAAUCUAUCAUUUUAAUACUUUUAGUUUUUCUCAUCUUUUUUUUUUCCUUCUGAUUUUCUUACCUUCUUUCAAAUGUUGAAUAUAUUUUAGAAUUUCAUUCUAAUUUAUAUAUUAGCUUUUUGGGCUACAACACCUCUUUGCAUUAUUUUUUAGUGGCUGCUUAAGGGAUUGGAGUAUACCUCUUUAACAUUUUGUAGUCUACUUCCUAGUAUUGUACUUUUUCACCUAAGAUGUAGAAUCUUGUAUGUAUAGUUUUAUUUAACCUUCAUCCAUCCUUUUAUGUUAAAGAUGUCAUAAACCUCAUGAUACAGAGCUUCAAUUUUUACUUUAUAUCAUUCUACGUAUCUUUAAAAACUUAAGAGGAAUUAAAAGAAAUUAAGAAAAAUUUAUUAUUUAUAUUUACUCUGUUAUUUAUCGUUUCUAGUCCUAGUAUCCUCUAAUAGCUUUUCAGUAUCAUUUUCCUCCCCAUUCUCUCUUUUCCUCUUGGACUGCAGAUAUACAGUAUGUGAGAACUUUUGAUAUUACUAAGGUUACUAAGACAUUUGUUGUUGUUUAUUUGUUUUAAAUCUUUUUCUCUCUAUUCUUCAGAUUGGGUAAUUUUUAUUGAUUUACCUUCAAGUUCACUGGCUCUACUGUUAAGCACCUUCAGUGAAAAUUUUUUUCUUUUUUUUUUUGCAUUUGAUAUUGCACUUUUCAGUUUUAGGAUUUUCAUUCUUUGCUUGUUUGUUUUAGUUUGUUAUUUUUUAUUUAUUUAAUUUUAGUAAUCUCUGCAUCCAUUGUGGGGCCCAAACUCAUGACCCCAAAAUCAAGAGUUGCACUCCACCAACUGAGGCUGCCAGGCAUCCCUCAUUCUUUGUUUUAAUGGUUUCUGUUUCUCUGCCAAGAUUUCCUAUGUAGUAAUUUUGGACUGCAUUCUGGAUGCUCAAUUCUGUUAUGUUCUAGAGACACUGGAUUAUGCUAUAUUGUUUUUACUUUUAGCAAGUAUUUAACUUGGCUGAACUUAAACUUCUGUCUUACCUGUAGUGGAUAGCAGCUGAGAAUCUGUUCAGAUAUUUUAGCUUUAACUGUACAUUUUGGAGUUCUCACCUUUACUUACAUAGUUUGGAGGUCACUUGGAGAUUUGGGCACAAAUUGGGAAUAUUCUUUCUGGAUUUUCUUUCUUAGUUUCUAGUUGCUGUUAUCAUUCCCCAUUUUUUUUCUGUCAUUAUUCAAGCUUUUAGGACCAGAGGUUUCCAUCUAAGCUUUCACUGUUCAUUGUGGCUCCAACUAGGGCUUAUCCUUCUACAAAAAAUUUUAAUAAAGGGGGAUAGGGAAUGCAUACAAGACUGUUUUCUCCUUUCAGGUGUUGUCUCCCAUUCAGUUUUUGCCCUCUUUGGAUUGUUUUUAGAUUUUCAGAUUGCCUUUUUUUUUCUUAUUUAAUUGAGUUAUAAUUAUACUUAUAACAUCCUAUUAGUUUCAGGAAUACAACAUAAUGAUUCAGUAUUUGUAUAUAAUGUGAAAUGAUCACCACAAUGAUAGUCUAGUGGCAGAGCAUUUGACUACAGAUAGCUUUUAAUAAUUUGCUUAGAGUUUAUAGUUGUUAUCAGCAGGAGGAUUGGUCUGAUAGAACCACUCUGCAAUUAUUGGAAUUGGAACCUUCUCACAAGUUUGUUUUUGAAAGUGAGUUUUUAAGUCUAAAUCUUAUGUAAUAGAGUCAUAAAUCUGUGUAUUGAGAUCUUUCUAUUUAUAAGGAUGUUUAAAAAUUGUAAACAAUUGUGUUUUUUGGUAUAAGUCUAAUAAAGUCUCUGUCUUUUCCUGGAUUAGAAAAACUUCACUAACUGCAUAAAGUCAGUUUUAAUUAUCUUUGAUUUUCCUGCAGCUUCUCCUCUUAAAAAUAAUGAUGAAGGUUCUUUGGACAUAUAUGCUGGGUUGGACAGUGCUGUUUCUGGUAUGUAAAUUCUAAAAUAAAAGUUUCAUUUUCUUUGGUCAGUGUAUUGGAAGUAUUUAUUUUGUUGUUGCCAAUUCUUGGAGUAAUACAUAGUUCCUGAACAAUUUGCCCAUUCUUUGAAAUGGUUAUACUUAGGUAAUUAUUUUUUUGACCAAAGUUUGAUCACUAAAACAAAUUAGCACUCAGUUUUGCUAUUCAUCUAGGUCUUAGAUUUAACUGGACCUAGAGCAGGUAUAUUUUGUACAUUGAAAUGCAGCUGCUGGUGGGGUCUAUACAUAUAUUACUGCUCAUACUGUCAUGGCUUACAUAUUAGAACUUUUGAAAAGGGUAGUUACUAUAAAUGUUUUCAAAUGUAUCAGUAAGAGGUGCCUGGGUGACUCAGUUGGUUGGACAUCCAACUUUGGUUCAGGUCAUGAUCUCGUGGCUUGUGAGUUCAAGCCCUGCAUUGUGAGUUCGAGGCCCUGUCAGGCCUCUAUGCUGACAGGUCAGAGCCUGGAGCCUGUUUCAGAUUCUGAUCUCCCUCUCUCUCUCUGCCCUUCCCCCAUUUGUGCUUGCUUGCUUCCUGGCUCUCUCUCUCUCUCUCUCUCUCUCUCUCUUUGUCUCGCUCUCUCUCUCAAAAAUAAACAUUAAACAAACAAACCAACAAACAAAACAAAUGUAUCAGUAAGAGUGGUAUGGAGAGAGUCUAAUGACCUAUCCAAAUUAGAAACCUUUCCAUAAUCAAAUCUCUCAAAGCUUUGAACAAAUAUGGUCCUCACAUCUGAUUUGUUGUCAUAAGUAUUUUAGGUAAAUUGGCUUUCCAACCAAUCAGUAUAGAUUUGGAUGAAAUGCAGGAGAUGCAGAAAUAUAUAGCCCUUUGAUUUGCAGUAGACACAACAUCAAAAAGCUUGACACAUAUUUUCUAUUUUCCCCACCUUUAUUGAGAUAUAGUUAACACGUAACAUUGUGUAAGUUUAAGUAUUGAUUUGAUACACUUAUAUGUUGCAAAAUGAUUACCACUUUAGCCUUAGCUAAAUUAUGUGACAUAAUUACCUGCAUCAAUUAUGUGAUAUAAUUAGCCUGCAUCAAUUAUGUGACAUAAUUACCAUCUCUCUUUUGUGGUGAGAACAUUUAAGAUCUAUUCUCUUAGCAACUUUUAAGUAUGUAAUACACACAGUAUGAUUAACUAUCAUCACUCUGCUCUGUUUUAGAUCCCUAAACCUUAUUUAUCUUAUAGCUAGAAGUUUAUAUUCUGGUUUUUUAAAGUUUAUUUAUUUAUUUAUUUAUUUAAAAAAUUUUUUUUAACGUUUAUUUAUUUUUGAGACAGAGAGAGACAGAGCAUGAACGGGGGAGGGUCAGAGAGAGAGGGAGACAGAGAAUCUGAAACAGGCUCCAGGCUCUGAGCGGUCAGCACAGAGCCCGACGCGGGGCUCGAACCCACGGACCGUGAGAUCGUGACCUGAGCUGAAGUCGGCCGCUUAACCGACUGAGCCACCCAAGCGCCCCUAUUUAUUUAUUUAUUUAGAGAGAGAGCACAAGCGAGCAUGAGCAGGGGAGGGGCAGAGAGAGAGGGAGAGAGAGAAUCCCAAGUAGGCUCUUCCCUGUCAAUACUGAGCCUGAUGUGGGGCUAGAACUCACAAACCAUGAGAUCAUGACCUGAGCUGAAAUCAAGAGUGCUCAACCAACUGAGCCACCCAAGGGCCCCUGGAAGUUCAUACUCUUUGAUCAAUAUCUCUUCUGUCACCCCAGCCCCUGGUAAGCACUGUUCUAGUCUGUUUCUAUGUAUUUGGCAUUUUUAUAUUUCACAUACAAGUUGGUGUCAUGUGCUAUUUGUCUUUCUCUUUCUGACUUAUUUCAAUUAGCAUAAUGCCUGCAAGGUCUGUCCAUGUUAGUGCAAAUGGCAGGAGGUCCUUCUUUCUCAUGGUUGAAUAAUAUCCCAUUGUAUACAUAUGCCACAUCUCUUUUAACCAUCUGUUAAUGAACACUUAGGUUGUUUCCAUAUGUUGGCUAUUAUGAAUAAUGCUGCAGUGAACAUGGGUGUGCAGAUAUCUCUUUGAGAUCCCAGUUUGUUUUUUUUUUAAGUUUUUAUUUAUUUAUUUUGAGAGAGAGAAAGAGAAGAAAAGAGAGAAAUUGAUUGGGGAAGGGGCAGAGAGAGGGGGGACAGAGGAUCUGAAGUGGGCUCUGCACUGACAGCAAAAACCCUAUACGGGGCUCAAACCCAUGAACUGUGAGAUCAUAUUUAUGACUCUAUUACAUAUUAGUUUCAGGCAUACAACAUAAUUAUUCAGUAUUUGUAUAUAAUGUGAAAUGAUCACCAUAGUAAUAGUCUAGUGGUAGAGCAUUUGGUUACAGAUAGCUUUCUGUACACUGCAGAGAGCCUGAUGCAGGGCUUGAACCCAUGAACCACUUCCACUUGAGCCGAAGUUAGGCGCUUAACCAAUUGAGCCACCCAGGUGCCCUAAGAUCCUCUUUUUAUAUCCUUUGGAUUAAUACCCAGAGGUGGGAUUACUGAAUCAUAUUUCUAUUUUUAAGUUUUUGAGGAACCUCCAUAGUGUUUUCCAUUGUAGCUGCACUGGUUUACAUUCCCACCAAUCUUGCACAAGUAUUCUAUUUUCUCCACAUCCUUGCCAACACUUGUUAUCUCAUGGUUGUUUUUUGGUUUUUGUUUUUUUUUAAUUGGGGAGGUCUCUGAUAACAGCAGUCUUUACUGAACAUUUACUUACUAAGUGUGGCAAGUGUUUGGUGCUUUUUAUUUUUUACUUAUUUAUUUUAUUGAAGUAUAGUUGACAUACAGUGCUAUAUUAGUUUCAAGUGUACAAAAUAGUGAUUUGACAAUUCUGUACCUAAUGCAGUGUUCGUCAUGGUAAGUGUAGUUACUAUUUGUCACCAUACAAAGUUAUUACAAUAUUAUUGAUUAUAUUCCCUAUUCUAUAGCUUUUAUCUCCUCUUUUUGGCGAUAGCCAUUCUAGCAGGUAUAAGGUGUUAUCUCAUUGUGAUUUUGAUUUGCAUUUCCCUAACAGUUAGUCAGGUUGAGCACUUUUCCAUGUUCCUGUUGGCCAUUUGUAUGUCUUUGGGAAAAUGUCUAUUCAGUUUCUCUGCCCAUUUUUCUGUCAGAUUUUUUUUUCUUUUGCUGUUGAGUGUAUGAGUUCUUUAUAUAUUUUGGAUAUUAACCCUAUGUCAGAUACUUAAUUUGCAAAUAUUUUCUCCCAUUCUGUGGGUUGCCUUUCACUUUGUUGAUGGUUUUCUCUCCUGUGCUGCAGCUUUGUAAUUUGAUGUAGUCCUACUUGUUAUUUUUGCUAUUGUUUCCCUUGUUUUUGGUGUCAAAGCCAGAAAAUCUUUGCCAAGACUGAUGUCUAGGAGCUUACCCCCUUCCUUUUUUUUUUCCCUAAGACUUUUUGGGUCUCACAUUUAAAUCCCAUUUGGAAUGCAAGCUGGUGCAGCCACUCUGGAAAACAGUAUGGAGGUUCCACAAAAAACUAAAAAUAGAACUACCUUACGGGCCAGCAAUUGUACUACUAGGCAUUUAUCCACGGGGUACAGGUGUGCUGUUUCGAUGGGACACAUGCACCCUCAUGUUUAUAGCAGCACUAUCAACAAUAGCCAAAGUAUGGAAAGAGCCCAAGUGUCCAUUGAUGGAUGAAUGGAUAAAGAAUAUGUGGUAUAUAUAUACAAUGGAGUAUUACUUGGCAAUCAAAAAGAAUUUGCAACUACGUGGGUGGAAAUGGAGGGUAUUAUGCUAAGUGAAAUUAGUCAGAGAAAGACACAAAUCAUAUGACUUCAUUCAUAUGAGGACUUUAAGAAACAAAACAGAUGAACCUAAGGGAAGGGAAACAAAAAUAAUAUAAAAACAGGGAGGGGGACAAAACAGAAGAGACUCAUAAAUAUGGAGAACAAACUGAGGGUUACUGGAGGGGUUGUGGAGGGAGGAUGGGCUAAAUGGGUAAGGGGCACUAAGGAAUCUACUCCUGAAAUCGUUGAUGAUAUAUCCUAACUAAUUUGGUUGUAAAUUUAAAAAAAUUAAAAAAAAAAACAUUUGGAGUUGAUUUUUGUGCAUGGAGUAAGAUAGGGGUCCAGUUUUCUCAAUACCAUUUAUGGAAAGAGCUUAUCUAUUCCUCAUUGUAUAUUCUUUGCUUGUCUGUCAUACAUAAAUUUACUGUAUUUAUUUCUGGGUUCUGUAUUCUGCUCCAUUGAUCUGUAUAUCUGUUUUUAUGCCAAUAGCAUACAGUUUUGAUUACUAUAGCUUUGUAUUAUAAUUAGAGAUCAGGAAAUGUGAUGCCUACAGCUUUGGUCUUCUUUUUCAAGAUAGCUUUUUUUUUUUUAAUUUAAAAAAAAAAAUUUUUUUUUUAAGUGUUUAUUUUUGAGACAGAGAGAGACAGAGCAUGAACGGGGGAGGGUCAGAGAGAGAGGGAGACACAGAAUCUGAAACAGGCUCCAGGCUCUGAGCGGUCAGCACAGAGCCUGACACGGGGCUCGAACCCACAAACCGCGAGAUCAUGACCUGAGCCGAAGUCGGACGCUUAACCGACUGAGCCACCCAGGCGCCCCAAGAUAGCUUUUUUAUUUGCAGUCUUGUCAUUUCAUACGAAUUUUAGGAUUGUUAUUUCUAUUUCUGUGAAAAAUGACAUUGGAAUUCUGAUAGGGAUUGCAUUGAAUCUCAAAGUACAUGUUUUAAUUUAAGGGCUUUUUGUAUGUUUGUUUUAGACAGUGCUUCCAAAUCCUGUGUACCAUCCAGAAAUUGUUUGGAUUUAUAUGAAGAAAUCCUGACUGAAGAAGGAACUGCAAAGGAGGCAACAUAUAAUGAUGUAUGGGUUGCCAGAAUUAAGGACAGAGUUAUUUUAACCUUUUGUAGCUUCUGAAGUGCAGACAUCAGCUUUUUAUUAAACAUUCUGUGUUGAAGAAAUAGCUCUUAGUCUAAAAGAAUAUUUAAGUUUCUGUCUUCAGAUCUGCUUUUUAAAAUCUUUUCUGAAUGUCUAAAUUUAGUUAUAAUUUGCUUGAUUAAAUUUAAGCGAAUAUAUAAAACUUCAACAGGCAGUCAGUAUGAUAAAACAUUUUAUCUUUUCAUGAUUUGUACUAAGUUAUAAAAUGUCCCAAGACUUAAUUCAGAUGAAUUUCUUUCUACGUUAUUUGAAUUUUAAGGUCUGGAGAUUGAAUGUGAAACUUAACAAGAUGUGUUUUGGUUGAGACAAUGUUAAAAACUAGUAGUUUUACUAAAUAUCUGUUAGUAGAAAUAGACCUUGUCUAUCCUUCGUAGGGGGUUGAUUUUCUAAAUUUUAAAAUAUUCUGAAGUGUCAUAUAAGCUAAGAAAAUAAUUUAGGAUGAUGCUUAAUCUUUUUAUAUCUUACAGUUGCAAGUAGAAUAUGGUAAAUGUCAGCUGCAAAUGAAAGAGCUGAUGAAAAAGUUUAAGGAAAUACAGACACAGGUAGGAUUAUAAUGAGUAUUUUUGCCUCUCUGUUUUCUUGUACUGCUCCAGUCAUUGAAGGGAAGUUUUAUUGAGGCCCUAGGGCCUUUUGUGUUAUUUUAAAAUCAAAAUGUAAUAAUUUUUUUUGUUAGAAAUUAAAAUGCUUAAGUGUUGGCGGUUUAUAAGGAAAUUCUUCUUUUUAGUGUUAAAUGAUAUAGCAAAUAUGCAAAAACAUGCAUUAUUUUCUGUGUCACUGAAAAUGAUAUUGGAAAACUGAUUUGUUAAAUGGCACUGGCAUAAAAAUCUGUUACACUAGUUAACAAAUAAUAGAACAUUAAUGGAGAUGAUACCAGGUAUUUUUUUGUUUUUUGUUUUUUUGUUAAUUUAUUUUGAGAGAGAGAACACAAGUUGGGAGGGGCAGAGAGAGAGGGAGGGAAAGAGAGGGAGAAUUCUAAGCAGGCCCUGUUCUAUCAGCGUGGAGCCCAAUAUGGGGUUUGAAGCCAUGAACUGUGAGAUCAUGGCAUGAGCCGAAAUCAAGAGUUGGACACUUUGAGUGACUGAGCCACCCAGGAGCCCCGAUACCAGGUGUUUUAAAAGGGAAUGGUUUGAGGAGCAAAGAUUUAGAAUGGCUGUCGGGGGAAGGUGGUGAUACCUUCAUAUUUUUGCAAGAGUGACUUUUUUGGUGAGCAUGCUGCAGAAUACAGGAAUGUCAUGUCUUGUUUUGAUAUUUAUUUAUUUAUUUAUUUAUUUAUUUAUUUAUUUUUUGGUAAAGUUGUUUCUCUUCGUUUCCCUUUCCCCCCAAAUAACUAGCCAAUCCUAAAUUCAUUCUUUGUUCAUUUGAGAAUUAGUACAUUGUUGUAAGUUAAACGUGAAUUGUUAAAUAUAAUAAAGCCUUAUCGUUUUUAUCUUCAGUUUUCAAGGUAAUAACCCAGGCAGAACUUUUUUCUUGUUAUUGUCUUUUCAUUUUGAACCUGGCUUUUUUUUUUUUUUAAUGUUUAUUUAUUUUGAGAGAGAGAGUAUGUGCACGCAGGUGUGUAUGGGAGGGGCAGAGAGAGAGGGGGAGAGAGAAUCCCAAGCAGGUUCCAUGCUCAGUGCAGUGUCUUAUCUCAUGACUGCGAGAUCACAACCUGAGCCAAUAUCAAGACUUGGGUGCUUAACUGACAGCCACCCAGGUGCCCCUUGAUCCAUGUGUUUUUUUUUUUUUUUUUUUCAACGUUUAUUUAUUUUUGGGACAGAGAGAGACAGAGCAUGAACGGGGGAGGGGCAGAGAGAGAGGGAGACACAGAAUCGGAAACUGGCUCCAGGCUCUGAGCCAUCAGCCCAGAGCCCGACGCGGGGCUCGAACUCACGGACCGCGAGAUCGUGACCUGGCUGAAGUCGGACGCUUAACCGACUGCGCCACCCAGGCGCCCCUGAUCCAUGUUUUAAGUAGUUUCACUUGAAAUGGCCUUUGUUUGGUGUCUGUUAUCUUUGAAUCUCAGCUGUAUAAUGAACAUAAUAGUACUUCUUUCUCGUAGGACUUUUUUUGGAAUCACACAAGAUAAAAAAAGUGAUGCCUGGCUUGCAGUUAGAGCAUUCAGUAAACAUUAGCUGUAUUAUAUAAGUAAAAGUUUAAUAAUCCUGUAGACCUAUACUUUAUUUAUAUAUACUUUAAAUAUAUUUUAUGAUGUUUAGAAUUUCAGCUUAAAAAAUGAAAACCAGUCUCUUAAGAAGAAUAUUUCAGCACUUAUCAAAACUGCUAGAGUGGAAAUAAAUCGCAAGGAUGAAGAAAUAAAUAAUCUUCACCAAAGGUAUAAUUGAGGGGUGUGGAUCUGUUUAUGAAUUACAUGGCUGUUGAUAUGUGGAAUAUUUUAAACUUUUGAGUGGAAAGAUGAAAAUCAUGCAUUUUAUUAAGUCUUUAAGGUUUUACUAUGACUAAUAUUCUCUCUCUUUUUAAAAUUUUGGUUGGGGGCAGUAUUUUCCAGAGAAUUUCAUGUUUCCUUCCCUUGCAUAGUCAAACCCCCAAAGCAGUUAUCUAAACUUGCUGUCUUCAUUUUAUGUUUCUACUCACUCUUGACCCCCUUUCACUCUGACUUCUGCCUCCAUUGGUACACCCAAAGAGCUGUCAUUUUGCUCAACAGUGACUGCCUCUAAGUCUAUCAAAUAGUUUUGAUUUCUCAUUUUAACUACCCUCACACAUUAUAUGACAUAAUUGACCUUUUCUUGAAAAUAGUCUCUUGAUUUGGCUUUCAUGAUUCUUAAUUUUCUUCCUAACUUGAGGUUUAUUCUUCUGUACUUGACUAGGUUGGAAUUCUUAAAACUCAGACCUGUGUCUUUUCCUUUCUCUGUCAGUAUAUUCAUUUGAAGUAAUCUCACUCCUACUACAUCAGUUCCAUUUAUAUAGAAGUAACUACUUCACAUCUAUACAGAAUUUUCAAAAUUACCUCAUUCAAAAUGGAAUUUAUGAUCAAACCUCUUCAGUUGUUUCUUACUCAGUGGGUUCUCCAUCAUUUAUUCAGCUGGUGUAAACCAGAGACCUAGGGGUAGACUGGCCAUUUAAUUUAUCGCCCACACCAGGACCCUUUUGAGAGUAGAAGGGCAUGCUAUUAAUAAUUUCACUGAGAUUACUUGGCAAACUGGGACACAUAGUCACCGUGCCUAGAAGCCGUCAUUGACUCUUACCUCUCUAAUCAUCCCUCAGACCUAAUUCGUUACCAUGUUCUGCUGAUUUUUAUGUCUUUAUAAUCUCUCAAAUUAUUCAUUUCUCAAUUCAUUUCAUCAUUGUUACCUAUCAACUCUCAUCUGGCAGUAGUCUUUGUGCUGGUAUUUCUGCAUCCAUUCUUACUCUUUUCCACCUCUGGUUCAUCUCUUCUCAGUGUAAAAGCCCCACACAGGACACUUUUUAAACCACACUGAACAUCUCACUAUCAUAGAAUUACUCCAUCCUACCCUCUUUCUUAAUUAAAAUACAUCAAUGGAUUCUCAUUGUUCUUAGGAUAAAAGAUCAUAAAUCUGAACGUGGCCCACAAGACUCUUCCCGAUAUGGUUCUAAACUACUUUUCAGGUCUUGCCUUUAGCGUUUACCUUUGCCCUAGGCAUCAUAGCUCUGGAAUUUCUGCAUUCUUUUGGUUCCUCUGAUGUACCAUGAGCUCUGCCUUUGCCACCUGUUUCCCAUCCUCUACUUGCUAAAAACCAACCUAUCCUCAGGUCUUUUUCACAGGGGUAUUAGUCUGUUAUUCCUCUUACACUUAGAAUUUUUAAAGUCAUUAAUGGGGUUACUUGUUUAGUAUCUUUCUCUUUCUAAUCUCCCUGUUAUCUCUGUUAAGAGCUCUAUGGGUUAGAAUUAUCUUUUAGUAUCUAUCUUUUCACUAAACUGUAAGCUUCAUGGGAGCAGUGACCAUGUCUGUGUAUCUUCACCAUUUUAUCAAGCACUUAGCUCAGAGUUUGGCGCAUGGCAGAUGGUCAAUAAAUGAUUGACAGGUGAAUGAAGGUAAUUUUAUAUGUAGACUGUGUGAUACUGUAAAGCACUUCAGGCCUUUUGGAAAUGAAGAUGGCUGUGUGUUUACUAAACUAAAUCGCACCAGUGCAGCUAGUAUGAUUGCUUCCUGAAAUGUUGGGGAAAUUUUAUACAUAUUUAAAUCUUUUAGCGGAUAGUUGUGAUGUUUUAACAGGGUGGAGAGAGAAGCUGGGUGAAUAAAUGAUGAGACUUAUGUCAUUAGAUUGAUUCAUGUGGUUAUACCUUAUCUAAUAAACAUUCUGCCAGUUAUUUUCACUUUUUAAUUGUGACCUGUAUCUGGUAUUCUACUGGUGUUUAUCAUUUGGCUGAAACCUCACGUUUAAUAGAAAACAUAUAAAUAAUGUAAGGUGAAAAUUUAAGAGUAUAAAUUCUGGAAAGUGUGUAAUGUAAAGUUUUGUUUUAAAUAAAACUUUUUUUUUUUAAGUUUAUUUAUUUAACUAAUCUGUACACCCAAUGUGGGGCUCAAACUCAUGACCCCAAGAUCAAGAGUCACAUUCUCUUCCAACUGAGCGAGCCAGGCUCCCCCUAAAACUUUUGAUAGUAUUUUAUCUAUCUAGUGUGCACAUGCUGGGGAGGGGCAGAGAGGGAGAGAGAAAAUCCUAAGCAGGCUCUGUGCUGUCAGUGCAGAGCCCGUUGUGGGGCUCGAUCCCACGAACCGUGAGAUCAUGAUCUGAGCUGAUAUAAAGAGCUAGAUGUUUGACUGGGCCACUGAGGCACCCCCAAAUUUCCCUUUUUUAUAGGGAUACUAGUUAUAGUGGAUUAGGGCUCACCCUAGUGACCUCUCUUUAACUUGAUUCCCCUCUGUAAAGACCCUCUCCUCAAAGUCACAUUGUAAGAUACUGGGAGUUAGGACUUGAACAUAUGAAUUUUGGGGAGAACAUAACUUAACCCAUUAUAAGAUCCAUGUAAGAUCUGUAUAUUGUUCUAGAUUGUAUAUUUCCCAUAUCCUCUUUUGUUUAAUUAAAAUCUCCCCUUAUUCUCCUGAGUCUUUUAAAUUUUGGUGUUCUCUGUACAUUUAGUACUGAUUAGGAUUAGAUUUAUGGAGAUUUAGAGAAGUUAUGGAAGUUCAGGAAAAUGGACUGAGAACUAAAAUGAGCUAUUUGCAUAUUAUUGUUAGGAAAACUGCCAGUUUUCUGAAACACUAAUAUAAAACCCUAAGACUUAGACUUUUUUUGGUUAAAUAAUAAAUACUCGCCAUUUCCCUAAGAAAGAAUCACAACUCUAUAUUUCUCUUUAUUUUUGCAUAGUAUGUGGCACUUUAAGAUGGCUAGUGAUGCUUUGGUUUUCUGUGGGAUUGUAUGUGAAACAGAAAACCAGGGUAGAGAGCUACGCAGAACUCUGAUGAUUGUGUUGUCUGGCAACAUUUUACUUUUCCUUCUGUUUCAGUUGCACUAGAGUGAGUGAGGGCAAGAAAAUAAUGUUAUUUGUUCUAAAAGAAAUGAAUCUGUGGUUAGUUUGGCAGUUAUCCACCUGUGGUGAGGGAAGUCUGGAAGACCUUGGUAAGGCCUGGGAUAGAACAGAAUGGUCCUCUAGUCUUUGUUGAACAAAGCAAAUGAAAGGGAGUUCCUUGUUUUGAAAACAGGCCCAUUUUGUUGGAAGCUGGUAAGCAUCACUCACAUCUUUAUAUGAAGUAAAACAGUUUUGCCAGUGUGGGGACCCCUGAAUUUUAAAAUGUUUUGCAUGUGAUUAAAAUCUGGAUCAUUUAAAGCAAUUAACUUUGUUUUUUGUUGUGAAUUUCUAUCUCUCAACAGACUGUCUGAGUUCUCACAUUUUCGAAAUAAUCACAAAACUCUAAGGACACCAGAUAUAGUUAAAACAAAAGAUCUUAAAUCCAGAUCUCCCCAUUUGGAUGAUUGUGCAAAGACUGAUAUCAGAGUGAAAAGUGAUGUUUCUAAAGAUGUACAUCAUAGCACUUCACUGCCAAAUCCCGAAAAGGAAGGAAAAUCACAUUGUGAAAAAAAGAGCACUUUGUAUUUGUCUCCAUUUACUGAAAAACACUGCAACAAUGGCAUUUGGUCACGUUCCCAUUAUCAGGUUGGUGAGAGUAUCUCAAAUGAGGAUAAUAGAAGAGGGAGAAAAGAUAUUAGACAUAGCCAAUAUAGCAGAGGAACGGAUAGAAUACGGAAAGACUUAAAUUCUAGUUGUGGUGAUAGUGAAUCAAGGAACACAGAGGCUAGUCAAAGGCUACAAGGACGUCCUGAGAAAUAUGGUAAAGGUGAACCAAAGGCUGAAAGUAAAAAUUCAAAGUUUAAAAGUAAUACAGAUAUGGAUUAUAAAAAUGAACGCGUUAACUCUUGGGAAAAAGAGACCUUUAGAGAAAGGUCAUAUACUCGAGUAGAAUCGCAAAGUGACAAAAAACUAGAAAGGCAAAGUGAAAGAUCACAAACUAUAAAUAGAAAAGAACUUAAGUCGCAAGACAAAGAAGAAAGAAAAGUUGAUCAGAAACCUAAAUCCGUAGUAAAAGACCAGGAUCAUUGGAGAAGAUCUGAACGACCAUCACUUACUCAUUCCAAGAAUGAAAUAAAAUCUCAUAAUUCAAGUAAAUACCAUCUAGAAGAGAGAAGAGGAAGGGAAGAUUGUAAAAGAGAUAGGGGUGUAAGUAAUCAUAGUUUUCAAGAAGGAAGAUGUCCAUCCUUUUUUUCAUCCAGCAGAACUCAUAAACACACUGACUCCAAAGAAUCUGAUGCUGUGCACCAGUGGGAAAAUACACCUUUAAGAGCAGAACGGCAUAGGACUGAAGAUAAGAGGAAAAGAGAACGAGAAAGCAAAGAAGAAAAUAGGCAUAUAAGAAAUGAAAAAAGAACACCUACAGAACAUUUGCAGAAGACUAGCAAAGAAACUAAGAAAACCACUACGAAUUUAAAGAGACAGAAUGAGCCCAAAAGUGAUAAAGGUGAAGUCUCUAACAAUGAGGUUUCUGAAGGAGCGGAUAAUAAAGAGCCUGCAAUUAAAGCUGACAGUGGUCCAAAUGAAACAAAAAACAAAGACUUAAAGUUGAGUUUUAUGGAAAAAUUGAACUUAACCCUUUCUCCUGCUAAAAAGCAGCCUGUUUCUCAGGAUAACCACCCGAAAAUAACCAAUAUCCCCAAAUCCAGUGGCAUAUGUGAUUUGGAGUGCUUGGUUCAGGCGACAACAGUGACAUGUGUUUCCUCUGUCAGUGAACAUACCGCAGAGGAAACCAAAUCAAAGUUAUUGGAACCAAAGGAUGCUCUUGCAGUUGCAUCUGAACCCAGGACCAGUAAUCCAGAAAGGAAAAUGGAAGGAGAGAGUGUGUUGGUUAAAUCUGUUGAGACUACUAUGGGUUGUGAUGUGCCCAUUUGUGGUACAGAGACUUCCUUCUCAGCACCUGUGGAAAUGGAACAAACAGAAUCCUUGUUUCCAUCAACAGAAAUGGAACAAACCAUUAAUAGUGCCAGGGAAGCAGUUCCUGUGGUAAUGGACAUAUUACAAACAAAUGUUUCUCAAAACUUUGGCUUGGAAUUGGAUACUAAAAGAAAUGUUGAUUUAAAUUCUUGUAGUGUUUCUGAAGGUAUGGAGAUGAAGGAGCCUUCUGCAACAAAAGUAGCUGAAUCCAGUGACAGCAUUUUGCAGCCUUCAGUUGAAGAAACUGAAAUUUUGCCAGUAGCCCUUUCAGAAGAUGGUAACCCCAAAUUUGAGCCUUCUCUUGUAGAUACACCAUUGGAUGAAAGUAAGUCUUGUCAUUUGGAGCCUUGCUCACCUAAAGAGACACAAGAAUCUUCACUUCAGCAGUCUGCGAUAGUGGACAACAGAAUGGAAAUCGGUGAAACAAACUCAGUAUAUAAUGAUGAUGAGAAUUCAGUUUUGAGCAUUGACCUCAAUCACCUGAGGCCUAUUCCAGAAGCCAUCAGUCCUCUGAAUAGUCCAGUGAGACCUGUAGCAAAAGUUCUUAGACUGGAAAGCCCAUCUCAAGUUUCAUUAUGUAAUAACAGUCAUAAAGGUAAUAGUUUAUAUUAUGUUCUAUAACUUUUUGUGAGAUUGUAAAAUAUAUAAGAAGAAUUAGUGCUUUUUCUUUUUUGAUAACAUAGUUCACAUAUUGUUCAGACCCCUGUUAAUUAGAGAGGUACAUCGAGCCUUUAAUCUAAAUUUAGAUAACUCUUAUUUUUACAAACAAGGGAGUGGUAGGACAGGUUGUUUCAAAUACUCUUUGCUUGCUUUCAGAUAUAUUUUUUAUUCCAAAGCCAUCAUCAAAUGGUAUAGAGUAGGUGAUCCUAACAUGAAGUAAAGAUACCUGACCGGUUGGUUGAUGGUUAUCCAAAUGACCAAACCACACCAUCACUGAGUACCAACUGAGGCCAGGAAAGACAUAGAAUGUGAUUAAGUAUUAAACAUUAACAUACUACUAAGAAAAAAAAAGCUAUUAAAAAUGGUGACAAAAGACAUAUGACAUGAUUAAAUAUUAGGCAUUAACAUUCUACUAAAAAAAAAAAAGCUAUUAAAAUAAUGAGUUGCCUCAGUACUUAAGUUUUUGUUAUAUUUAGUAUGGAAAUGUCAAAUGACUAGAACUCAGUUGUCAUGUGACUAUAAUACACUUUUCUCUUCCACAGAUAUAUUUCCACCAGAUUCGGCUCAAUCUACCUCUAAGAGCAAGUCUGAUCUCAAUAAGGAAAAUCAAAAGCCAGUUUGCAAAUCUGACAAAUUUACAGAUGCAGACUACCAUAAGAAUUCAUCUUUAGAUGAAUUGGAAGAAGGAGAAAUUAUAAGUGACAGUGAAAAAUCUAAACCACAAGAAAGUUUUGAAAAAAGUGCCAAACCUAGAACUUCUACUGAAGUCCAGAAUGCAAAAAGUAACCCAGGAAGUAGGAAAAGUACUAUGCACUUGGGUAAAGACAGUAGGAAAACAUCUAUAAAAAUUCAUCAGACCAAAAGCAGAUGGAAUAAUAAUAGACAAAGUGAAUCUAGCAGAUCUUCAAAAACAGAGAGGAAAGAUAAGACCAUGAGUACCUCCAGCCUGGAAAAAAUAGUUCCAAUUAUUGCUGCACCCUCUUCUGUACGAGAGAUUAUGCACAUGUUACGAAUGAUAAGAAAACAUGUAAGGAAAAAUUAUAUGAAAUUCAAGGUAAAAUUUUCAUUAAUACAAUUUCAUAGAAUUAUCGAGUCAGCAAUUUUGAGUUUUACAUCACUAAUUAAACACCUUGACUUAUCCAAGAUCUCAAAGUCAGUGACUACUUUACAGAAUAAUCUCUGUGAUGUUAUAGAAUCCAAACUUAAGCAAGUUAAAAAGAAUGGCAUUGUGGAUCGUUUGUUUGAACAGCAGCUACCAGAUAUGAAAAAAAAAUUGUGGAAGUUUGUAGAAGAACAGCUGGAUUAUUUGUUUGGAAAGCUUAAGAAAAUCUUAGGAAAGUUUUGUGAUUCCAUAAACUUUGGCAGUGACAGUGAUGAAGGAAAACGUGAAAAGAUAAAUAAGGAGAAAGCACAAUAUUCAAAUUGUCAGAAGGGGAAUGUGGACAACUCCAGCAAAGAAAUGCUGAAAGAGAAAUCCCCCAAAUCGGAAGAUUCUGUUAAUCAUAAGUCUGCACUUGGAUGUAAAAAAUCUGAGGAAAAACCUCAAGAUAAUUUCAGUAUUAACACAGUGAAGCGUGACAUUAAAAAAAGUUCUAACACUUGCUUUGAUAACAUUAAGAACUCUCAGUCUGAAGAACGCUCCUUGGAACCAAACUGUCCCAGCGUCCCAAAGCCAGGAAAAAUGGAAGGCAGCACCAUAGAGGAUGCACAAACAUCCCAGCAUGCAGCUUUGAAGCCAGAACGCAGUUUCGAGAUUCUUACUGAACAGCAAGCAUCUAGCCUUACUUUUAAUUUAGUGAGCGAUGCACAGAUGGGUGAAAUAUUCAAAAGUUUGUUACAGGGUUCUGAUCUUUUGGAUAACAGUGUUAAUUGUAAUGAAAAAAGUGAGUGGGAGUUAAAGACUCCAGAAAAACAGCUGCUGGAGAGUCUUAAGUGCGAAUCUAUACCAACUUGUACAACUGACGAGCUGGUUUCAGGGGUGGUUUCUCCAUGUCCUAAAAUGAUUAGUGAUGACAAUUGGUCAUUAUUGUCAUCUGAGAAAGGUCCAUCUUUGUCUUCAGGACUUUCUUUGCCAGUUCAUCCUGAUGUGUUGGAUGAAAGUUGUAUGUUUGAAGUGUCCACUAAUAUAGCUUUGAGUAAAGAUAAUGGAUGUAGUUCAGAAAAGAGCAAGCCCUGCAUUUCCUCCAUACUUCUUGAAGAUCUCGCAGUCUCUUUAACAGUACCAUCACCUCUGAAGUCAGAUGGUCAUCUCAGUUUCUUAAAGCCUGAAGUUUUGUCUAGUUCAACUCCUGAAGAAGUUAUUAGUGCCCAUUUUAGUGAAGAUGCCUUACUUGAAGAAGAGGAUGCAUCUGAACAAGAUAUUCAUUUAGCUCUGGAGUCUGAUAAUUCGAGCAGCAAAUCAAGUUGUUCUUCAUCAUGGACAAGUCGGUCUGUUACUCCAGGCUUUCAGUACCACCCCAACCUACCCAUGCAUGCUGUCAUAAUGGAAAAGUCCAAUGAUCAUUUCAUUGUGAAAAUACGGCGUGCUGCACCAUCUACCUCCCCUAGUCUUAAACAGAAUAUGGUGGCUGACGAGUCACUGGCAUCGUUGCCCAGAAUGGAAAAAGAAGCAGAUAAAGCAGUGGAGAAAGAAUAUGUUUCAUGUCAGAAUGGAGUUUUUAAAUCUGUGGAGGAAUUAAAUUCCAACAACAAUGUUGACAGCAGUAAAUCAGCUCAUGAAGAACAGGACUGUAUGAUACAAACACAGGUUCCUGAUAUAUACGAAUUUCUUAAAGAUGCUUCAGGUAAAGUGAGUCAUGGUAAUGAAGUGGCUGAUGAGUGUUUCAAGUUGCAUCAAGUAUGGGAACCAAAAGUACCUGAAAGCAUUGAAGAAUUGCCUCCAAUGGAAGAAAUUUCACAUUCUGUUGAGGAUCAUCUUCCAGACACAUAUAUAGACCUCACAAAAGAUCCAGUCACUGAGACCAAAAACUUGGGGGAAUUCAUAGAAGUAACAGUUUUAAAUAUUGAUCAGUUGGGAUGCUCUGAAGGCAAUUUGGAUCAGAAUGCUCAAAUACUAGAUGAUAUGCAGCCUGAUACUGUAGAUGCUUUCAUUGAUUUGACACAAGAGGUUUCAAGUGAGAGUAAAAAUGAGAGUAACCAUCCUGCUUUAGGUGUUGGACGCUUGGAAUGUCAGGUGAUAUGUGUAGAUGAAGAUAACUGUAAGGAAGGAAAGGUGCAAGUGGCAAACGGGCCUUUGGAAUGCAUUGUUGAGAAAGCCUGUAUCGAUUUGACCUCAGAACCUCCCAGUUCAUGUGAAGUAAAAAAGGAUGACUUAAAACCAGAGUCGGCAUCAAAUUCUGAUAGUUCAGUGUUGCCUGGGACUUUGGAUAAUGCUCCUAAAAAGAGAAAAAAACUUUCUGAUCUAAAUCAUUCUCAUAAAAAACAGAGAAAGGAAACAGACUUAACCAGUAGGGAAAAGACUAAGAAAAUUACCCAUGAUUCUUCUGAGAAUGGUGAAGCUCACCGAAAGAAAGCCAGUAAGAAAAAGGCCCCUGCAGUGACUAAAGAUCCCUCAUCGUUGAAGUCAAGCCCAGGGAUCGAGGAACUGUCAGCAACUGCCACUUCUCCUAUAAGCCUUUCUGCAAAGAAUGUUAUUAAAAAGAAGGGAGAAAUUAUAGUUUUAUGGACAAGGUAAGAAUCUUGAGACUUUUAAGUCACCAGGAAAUUUUGAGAGGCCAGGCAUCUGUUCUGUCAUGUCAUCAUAGUUUUAUCCCAUCCUAAAUUAAGGCAAGUGAGGACUGACUUCAAAAGUGGCCAAAGUUGGUAAAGAAUGCAUUCUAGAGUGCAGUCCAGCUGUAGUAUAGAACAGUUUAGAGCAGUGGCUCUUAACCGGGUAUGUGCAUUAGCACCAUGGACAUAACUUUUCACUGUUCUUUUAAAAAUUUUUUUUUAACUUUUUCAGUUAAAAAUUCUUUGUAAGGAACUGGUAUAACCACAUUUUAGAAAGGAAGAAUAUAACCACAUUUUAGAAAGGAAGAAUGACAGGUGGUGAAACGGGCAAAAAGUGCAUUUGUAAUUUGAGUUUUCCCCUAAACUAGGAGUUUCGAAAAAGUUUCAUCAAUUGGUUGUCCUCUUGACUUUCAUGUAAACUUUUUAAGAAAUGGAGAUUUAAAGGUGACUACAUUUGUGAACCAUUGGACUAGAGGUUCAUGCUCUCCAGACUUAACUAGAGUGCAUAAUGAGGGAAACUGAAUCAUGUUGAAAUUGGUGACCAGUUUUGUUUAUUUUACUUAUUUAGUUUAACUUGUUUUAUUCUAUUUAAUUAAUUGCAUUUAAUUUUAAAAAAUAUAUUUAUUUUGAUAGGGAGAACAUGCAUGUGCAAGUGGGGGGGGCAGAGGGAGAGAGGGAAGUGGAAUGUGGGGACAUGCACGUUUGGGGAACAGUUGGUGUUUGGAUGCAUGUGAAGUGCCUGGCUCUUUGCCCCAUUUGAGAGUCCCACAUCCUUUUUUUUUUUUUUUUUUAAAGUUUUAUUAAUUGAUUCAUUUAGAGAGAGCACAAGUGGGGGAGGGGCAGAGAGGAGAGACAGAAUCCCAGGCAGGCUCUACUCCAUCAGCACAGAGCCCCAUCAAACUCAACAAUUAUGAGACCAUGACCAGAGCCGAGAUCAAGAGUAGGAUGCUCAACUGACUGUGCUACCCAGGCACCCCGAGAGUCCCACAUUCUUUCUCCCUUGUCACCUUGAGCUUAGCUCAAGUCUCUAGAAACUGUCCCUUUGCUUUUGCUCUUAACCUCUGGUCCUGGACAUGCUCAAAGGUCUAGGGGAACUGUAUAGCAACCCCCUGGUAACCAGUUUUGUUUAAUACCACAGUCUUCCAUGCCUUCAUUCCGGAUAAUUUAUAGAUGGCAGAAUAGUAUCUCAGAGAUUAUAACACGCACUGGUUCAGAUCACGUAGAAAAACAAAUCUGGGAAUGAGAAUGCCUGGAUUCUAUUUUACUUUUGGUUUUUCUGCUUAUGAAGACUUUGAUCUUGUUUGGGCCCUAAUUUUAAAAGUACACAUUGGGGCACCUGGGUGGCUCAGUGGGUUAAGCAUCUGACUUCAGCUCAUGUUAUGAUCUCUUGGUUUGCAGGUUCAAGCCCUGCAUCUGGCUGUCUGCUGUCAGUGCAGAGCCCACUUCGGAUCCUCUGUCUCCCUCUCCCUCUCUCUCUGCCCCUCCCCUGUGUGUGAACAUGUGCACUUUCUCUCAAAAAUAAACAUUAAAAAGAAAGUACACAUUAAAGGUAGAUUAAGAAAAAAAAAACACCUUUAAUUUUGUCAUUAGAAUAAAUUGGUUUAUUUAUUUAUUUAUUUUUUUAAAAUGUUUAUUUAUUUUUGAGACAGAGAGAGACAGAGCAUGAACGGGGGAGGGUCAGAGAAACAGACACAGAAUCUGAAACAGGCUACAGGCUCCGAGCUGUCAGCUCAGAGCCCGACGUGGGGCCCAAACUCACGGACCGCGAGAUCAUGACCCGAGCCGAAGUCAGAUGCUCAACCAACUGAGCCACCCAGGCGCCCCCAAAUUGGUUUAUUUUAGAAAAUUUUGGGGACCCCCAGGUGGCUCAGUUGGUUGAGCAUCUGACUUCAGCUCAGGUCAUAAUCUCGUAGUGUGUGAGUUCCAGCCCCACGUCGGGCUUUGUGCUGAUAGCUAAGAGCCUGGAGCCUGCUUCAGAUUCUGUCUCUCUCUGCCUCUUCCCCACUCACACUCUGUCUCUCAAAAAUGAAUAAAUGUUAAAAAAAUUUUUUUUUUAAUUUUUUGGGAAAUAUGUGUGAACUCAAACAUUAAAAUCAUGCAUACUAUUUCUCAGAGAUAAUCAUUGUUCAUAUUUUGGUAUAUGCAGUUUGUUUGUUUCUGUGGGCUUUUAAGAAAAAUGUCACCUCCUAUUUGUAGACAUUAAGGCAUUGGAAUUUUUGUUACCUUCCUACUCUAAUCUACAGAAACUAAAAUAACAUUUUUCUCUCUUCAGAAAUGAUGACCGGGAAAUUUUAUUGGAGUGUCAAAAAAGAGGGCCAUCAUUGAAAACAUUUUCUUAUUUAGCUGCCAAGUUGAAUAAAAAUCCAUAUCAGGUAACUACCCAAUUUUUACAUUUCUAUAAUUUUACAAGUGUUUCUACUAUAUUUAGAUUUAACCUUUAUCAUGUUUAAAAUACGUAGAUAUUAUCCAAUUUCUUUAAAAAUUUUUUUUAAUGUUUCUUUAUUUUGAGAGAGAGAGAGAGCGCAAGUGGGGGAGAGGCAAAGAGAGAGGGAGAGAGAGAAUCCCAAGCAGGCUCCACACUGUCCACGCAGAGCUGAUGUGGGGCUUGAUCUCCCGAUCCAUGAGAUCAUGACCUGAGCUGACAUCCAGAGUUGGACACUCAACCGACUGAGCCACCCAGGGGCUCCUAUUAACCAUUUUCUUUAACAGUAUGGCUCUUUACAUAGGACUGUUAGAAACUUGGUAAGGGGCACCGGGAUGGCUCAGUUAGUAGAGCAUGUGACUCUUGAUCUUGGGAUCUUGAGUUUGAGCUCCACUUUGGGUAUAGAGAUUACUUAAGGAAAUAAAAUAAAUAAAUAAAAUCUUGGUGAUUGUGGACGUAGCUGGGAACAAUCCUAAUUUUUUCCUAUUGUCUUACCAUUUACUUAUUUGAUCUCAUUUGUCUUAUAAUGAUGUUUGCUUCUUUAAGAAUGUUUAAUAUUGAACAAUUAAACUAGCAAUCACCUUUAGUAUGAAGAUAUUUUAUUUUUCCAAACAUUAUUUCAUGUUUUUAUUACUGAGGGCAACUUUCUUUGUCUUUAGAUGUUUUGUGAAAAUAUUCAUCACAGAUAAAAAAAAUAUAUAUAUUGAGAUGUUUGUAAUUAACUGUCACUUAAAAUUUUUCAGGUCUCAGAAAGAUUCCAGCAGCUAAUGAAGCUCUUUGAAAAGUCAAAAUGCAGGUAGUUAAUGGUUCUGCUACAGGACACCAGUAAAGUAAAUAUCUGACACUGUAACUGUGCAGUUAAUGGCCUGUUAGUCACUGAAGAUAUGAGUAGUGGGUAGAGACAUCCAGUUUAGUUUCUGCUUCAGUCACAGGUUGGAGGAUGGUUGCUCGUGCAGGAUUCAAAGGUUGCUUCAUCCAUAGAGACGUGGCUUAGAGCGAAGCCUGCUGCAGUUCAGAUCAGCAUGGCAUCUCUCCUCAACCCUUUUUUUUUGUUUUUUUUUGGAGUAUAACCGACAUAUCAUAUUUCUUCUCAACCUUCUGAUUGCUGAUGAGUCUAAGAUGCGGGGGGAUAAUCCAUUUGAUGAUUAACAAAAAAUUUUUUAUAGAUGAAGAAAAAUAAAACAUUCUUGAAUAGCAUACAUUUCACAGGCAGUGAACUCUGUAGUCUUUGAAAUUUAGUAUUUUUCAAAUUUUAUUUAUUUUUUUUUUUAAUUUUUUUUUUUCAACGUUUGUUAUUUAUUUUUGGGACAGAGAGAGACAGAGCAUGAACGGGGGAGGGGCAGAGAGAGAGGGAGACACAGAAUCGGAAACAGGCUCCAGGCUCCGAGCCAUCAGCCCAGAGCCCGACGCGGGGCUCGAACUCACGGACCGCAAGAUCGUGACCUGGCUGAAGUCGGACGCUUAACCGACUGCGCCACCCAGGCGCCCCUAGUAUUUUUCAAAUUUUAAUUAGGAGUACUAAAUAUUUUAAAAUAUAAAACGUACAUCAUUCAUAAACAUGAAAUCCUUUGUCAUCUGAAUAGAUGACAUGAUUUACCAAGUUAAAUUAUUAAUGAUGUUCACUGACAUGUUUUCUUAGUUUAUUUAAGCCAUUCCUACAGGUUUAUAAUUAUAUAAGCCAUUCCUGUACAGGCAAUAAUUAUCAGCAGGUUUUUUUUCUCUAAGGCCUGAACCAAUUGCUUAGAUAUUUUGGACUUUACAUAAAGAAAGUUGUAAAGGUACUUAACCUAUCACUGUUUUCACUGUAUUUGUAUCAUAAUUACUUGAAUGCAGAACACCCAAUUUCAAAUUCAGUUCAGUUCAAAUUAAAUUAAAUCUGAAAAGAAUCCAUAUUUGGACAUAGAUCUUAGUGUGAAGGGUCCUUAUAUUUUUGAAGUUUAAAUCGACUUCUGGACCCAGUGUAAAUUUUAUUAUCUGUGGAUAACCUGUUAGUUUCAAUAUCUUCUCUAAGCAACUAGUUUGCUAAUGAGAUCUUCAGAAGAUAUUUAGCAGUUUACUGUGAAGUUAAAAUCCUAUUUACAUAAUUCAGAAUGUAAGAUUGAAUAAUGGAGAAUUUAAAUAGAAAAGCUUAUUCUUUAAGAACCUUUUAAAAUGGCCUGAUUAUUUUUCAGAUUUACUGUGCUUUAAAAUUUUUACUGCCUUUAAGAAAUGAAACUGAGUUUUUAUUUUACCUGAAUGUUAUGUUAAAAUGUGAGUUCCAUUCCCUUGUGAAGAUAAUAUAUACAUUUAUGAAAGAAUUAACUUGUAUCUGAAAGUGAUGCGUAUUAGUUUGAAAUUUCCAAAUUCCUUUACAAAUCUAAAAUCUUCAGUGGACUUGUUACUUGAAAUUUUUUUUGCUUGCAUGAUAGCAAAAAUAGUAGGUUAUUUUAUUCCUAUCUGUCUCUUAACUGAUUUUUUUUCCAUCCAAGUGCUAUAGUCUCAUAAGAUUCUUGCCAGAAUCAGAAUAUAGCAAUAAAGUUACCAAACUGAGUCUGUAAAAAGCUAGUUCUUUAUCACUGAUAUUACCUGAGUGAACUCAUUUAAAGAACAACACCUUAUAAAAUGGUCAUCAGAAAAAUAGAAUCAUAACUUCAGCAUUUUCUUACAUUACAGAUAAAUUGCUGAAUUCCUUGGAGUCUUGAUUGAUAUUGCAUAUUUCACAGAAGCUUGGAAUUCCUCAUGUUUUAAAUGGGGAAGUAGAGGGCAGUUUCAUGGCAUAUUCGAUUAGUAAUAAAAAUCUACAUUUGUAAUUGCUGACGCUUUAAUCUCAAGUCAGCAUGCUUGGCUUGUUCCAGUCAUCAGUCUGAUUUGCUCACUUGUUAUUGGUCAAGAUAUUUAUUUUUGAACAGAACUUGUUAUUAAGAUAAAAGCAACAACGAAAUGGCAUUGAAACCUCAAAGAAAUGACUUUCUUUUCUAGAUUUUUCAAAAUAAUUUUGUAGCAUUUGAAACGAUUAUUUAGUUCAUUUUCAUCCAUUUUUAUUUGCUUUUCUAAUUGCCUCUCAUUUUGGUACAUUGUAAAAUAAUUUAAAUAGUGUAUAUGUAAAUAUGUAUAAUUACAGUGAUGUAUAAUACUUUGUGUAUAGGUGUGUUUGUGUGUACAUACACACAUAAAUGGCUUUGCCUAGCCAAGGAUUUUUUUUAUCUGUAUAAAACUUUUUGUAUAAAGUUUGUUUUCAAUACCAGUAAUGUAUAAAUAAAGCCAUGUAAAGUUCUGUU